GGGCGCAUGGUCUAGUGGUAUGAUUCUUCUUUAGGGCGAUUAGUCUCUGACUAAGCUCAUAGAAGAGGUCCUGGGUUCAAUUCCCAGUGCGCCCC
Molecule: non-coding RNA, 95 nt
Organism: Malassezia nana
Lineage: Eukaryota; Fungi; Basidiomycota; Malasseziomycetes; Malasseziales; Malasseziaceae
Source: the annotation of a GenBank genome assembly